Amborella trichopoda is the source of this 2288-nucleotide non-coding RNA. The record is from RefSeq and is a predicted model, not a curated record. Lineage: Eukaryota; Viridiplantae; Streptophyta; Magnoliopsida; Amborellales; Amborellaceae.
UCUGAAGAAUCAGACGUGGAUUGCUCCGAUAAGCCCACAAAGAUCAAUCUAUGGCCAAUUCUGCAACCAUGGGAUGUUCCAUGGGAUUGGAAGGUCGCGGUAUUUGUCAUGUUGCCAUAUGUCAUGAGGGAUAAUAGAAUCAGAAGGGUUGUCAAAGAUACCUCAGCCUCAUUUGGAGGGUCUGCAAGCACCAAUGCUGAGCAUGGAUGAACAAGGAAAUAGGUUUUUUAUUGACCAAUUAUUUAAAACAGUUGCUAAGCUUUCAGUGAUGUAUGUAUUCAUUAGCCCUUAUCAACCAUUUUCAGACAAUUUGUUCUCUUAUGGUAGGCCAUGAUAUUUUUACUUGGGUAUGAAUCAGUUUUUUUUAUUAUUGUAAUGUGAGUGGUAUUUACUUUUUGAAGAAGCUCUCAAAUGUAUCAAAACUCAAAAAAAAAAAUAAAAAAUGAAAUGAAAGAAAAAAGGAUAAGCAUUCAAUUAUAUUCAAUUUCAGCUUUAAUACGAUAGUAACUUUUAUCUAUUUACACAAUUAUAGUUGCACAGGCCUAAUGUUAUACCAAGCUUUGGAUCUCAAGUUUUGGGUUCAUCUAUUGUACCCCACCAAAUUUGAAUGCCUAGGAGUUAAUCUUGUUGGAUUUGCUUGCCAUCUUUCUCUUUCACCGAACUAUGUAAUAAACUACAGUCAAAGGAAUAAGAAUAUGUAAUAAACUAUAUGAAUCUGUCCAGAAUUUGAUUACAAGCCCCCAAAAGGACCUGGAAAGGAGACGUGACUUUUACCAAUCUACCUAUAAUCAGAAUCUAAGAAAACUAAGGCCUGUUCAAUAAAUUGAUAUAUUCAAAAUCGAUUCUAUGCACUAUGUGAAGGAAUUCUAAAGAACACUGUAGACUCAGAACUAAAAUUCGGAAGGUGGCUUGUUGUUGAUCAUAGGACUGUAUGGUUGUAGGAAGAGAGAUUGCUAACUUAUAUUGCUUGUUGUAACAGAAUGGAGGAAACCAUUUGACCUUCAGUGUGGUUGGGUUUUAUGGGGAGGCAUUGGGCUUUCAAUUGCAUCAACUUCUGUAUUUCUCACAAGGACUCUAAUACAUGGUGCAAGUGCUGGUCAAAUGCAAAAUGGGGUCUCUAUUCCUUUGCUAACAUAAUUCUGUGAACUUUGCUGGCUAUUUAGUAUUGCAAGCUUGGACAUGCAUUAGUCAUUUUCAUCAUAGUUGCUAUAUGGGUAGAAACGUUGAUCUUCAGUCUGAUGUUGUCGGUAUCAGGAUGUAUAGUUCCACAGAAAGUACCAAGUUUGUUGAAAGAUAAAGAGUAUAGUUCCAGUAGGUUCGCUUGGGCCAGGGAGAGUAGGGUUUUUUUUUUUAAAUGAUUUAACUGUUCUAUUAAGAGAAGAAGAGGGUUAUAAGGUGUCAAAAAAUAGGCUUCCCAAAAGCCGGGAUCUAUAUACAAAAAAUAAGCUUCCCAUGAAGCGGGAGCUCUAUACAAAAAAUAAAGGCUGCCCAACAAGGGUGCACCAAGAGGGUGAAAAAACAACAAAAGGGCCAGGAAGAGUAGUUUGUAGUUGAUUCUAGCUUAGCCAUGUCAUGGGAUCUUUUCAAAGGUGUGCCCUUGGAGAGAUGACAUGGGUAUCAAAGAUGAUGGACAUGGGAAUGCAUAUCAGGUUUCGUAUGUGAGUCAUCACAUAGUUUAGAAUUAUUUUCAGUUAAGAAUUAUUUUUCACAUUGGGAAUCAUUAUUUUGAAGCAAAUUGUAGGUGUGAUCACCUAUUAUUACAAAACCAAUUUCUGCCAAUUUGUCUAAGACACUUUCUAAGUAUUUUUGUGAAGGUGAUACAAAAUAUUAUUGUACCAGAACUGGAUUCCUUGUAUGCCUAAAUUUUUUUGGCUUUAUGUCCCAUUAUGUCCCAUUACAGGCAGAGUCUUUACUGCAGCUUUUGCCUCUUAUAGGUGCAUCAAAUAUCAGGUUUCUAUCUGAAGAAGUCUAUAUGAUCUUCCAAUAAUUUACGUGAUAUUGAGGUGUAUAGAGCUGGUUAUCAUCAUAUUUGUGCAAUUCCUUUUAAACUUGUGCAAUUGUUGUAUAUAUAAUUUUGUCAGCACUGCUUGUGUGCUUGGGGUAACGGGAAUUCUGGCGCCGCUUGGUGAAGAGACAUUAUAUCGCGGUUUCCUAAUGACUUCCCUAACAAAAUGGUUACCUGUACCUGUAUCCGUGGGUGUUAGUGCAUUUAUUUUUGCCCUUUGCCACCUGUCCCCUGGAAAAUUUGUGGAGAUUUUUAUAUUUGGUAUUGUCUUGGGGCUUGUAUA